GGGGUGAAGUCGUAACAAGGUAACCGUAGGGGAACCUGCGGUUGGAUCACCUCCUUACCUGAAAGAA
RNAcentral lists this ribosomal RNA (67 nucleotides) under Klebsiella oxytoca. RNAcentral describes it as "partial 16S ribosomal RNA". The stretch from base 1 to 57 matches the Rfam family "Bacterial small subunit ribosomal RNA", at positions 1477 to 1533 of the family's 1533-position model. The record is from RNAcentral. Lineage: Bacteria; Pseudomonadati; Pseudomonadota; Gammaproteobacteria; Enterobacterales; Enterobacteriaceae.